AUCAACGUCUGGGCGGCGUGCCUCAGACAUGCAAGUCGAACGCGAAAGCCUCCUUCGGGGGGCAAGUAGAGUGGCGCACGGGUGAGUAACACGUAGGUAAUCUACCUUUGGAUUGGGAAUAACCACCGGAAACGGUGGCUAAUACCGAAUAAUGCAGCGGCACCUAAUGGUGACAGUUGUUAAAGCGGGGGAUCGCAAGACCUCGCGUCUGAAGAGGAGCCUGCGGCAGAUUAGCUAGUUGGUAAGGUAACGGCUUACCAAGGCGAUGAUCUGUAGCCGGCCUGAGAGGGCGGUCGGCCACACUGACACUGACAUACGGGUCAGACUCCUACGGGAGGCAGCAGUCGGGAAUUUUGGGCAAUGGGCGAAAGCCUGACCCAGCAACGCCGCGUGAAGGAUGAAAUCCCUCGGGAUGUAAACUUCGCAAGAACGGGAAGAAUAAGUAAGGGUUAAUAUCUCUUACGAUGACGGUACUGUUUGUAAGCUCCGGCUAACUCCGUGCCAGCAGCCGCGGUAAUACGGGGGGAGCAAGCGUUGUUCGGAUUUACUGGGCGUAAAGGGCGCGUAGGCGGCCACCGCAAGUCGACUGUGAAAUCUCCGGGCUUAACCCGGAAAGGUCAGCCGAUACUGCGGGGCUAGAGUGCAGAAGGGACAACUGGAAUUCUCGGUGUAGCGGUGAAAUGCGUAGAUAUCGAGAGGAACACCUGCGGCGAAGGCGGGUUGCUGGGCUGACACUGACGCUGAGGCGCGAAAGCUAGGGGAGCGAACGGGAUUAGAUACCCCGGUAGUCCUAGCCUUAAACGAUGAAUGCUUGGUGUCUGGGGUUUUAUAGUCCCCGGGUGCCGUCGCUAACGCUUUAAGCAUUCCGCCUGGGGAGUACGGUCGCAAGACUGAAACUCAAAGGAAUUGACGGGGACCCGCACAAGCGGUGGAGCAUGUGGUUCAAUUCGACGCAACGCGAAGAACCUUACCCAGGCUUGAACUGCGAGUGACCACGCCCGAAAGGGUGCUUCCGCAAGGACACUCGUAGAGGUGCUGCAUGGCUGUCGUCAGCUCGUGUCAUGAGAUGUUGGGUUAAGUCCCGCAACGAGCGCAACCCUUGUCCUCUGUUGCCAUCACGUUAUGGUGGGCACUCUGAGGAGACUGCCGGUGAUAAACCGGAGGAAGGUGGGGAUGACGUCAAGUCAGCAUGGCCUUUAUGUCUGGGGCUACACACGUGCUACAAUGGCCGGUACGAAGCGUCGCGAUCUCGCAAGAGGGAGCUAAUCGCAGAAAGCCGGUCUCAGUUCGGAUUGCAGGCUGCAACUCGCCUGCAUGAAGUCGGAAUCGCUAGUAAUCGCGGAUCAGCAUGCCGCGGUGAUACGCUCCCGGGCGUUGUACACAC
This 1384-nucleotide ribosomal RNA is filed under the name uncultured bacterium. Its description in RNAcentral is "bacterial SSU rRNA". It matches the Rfam family "Bacterial small subunit ribosomal RNA", at positions 29 to 1390 of the family's 1533-position model. The record is from RNAcentral.